ACGGGAGGCAGCAGUGGGGAAUAUUGGACAAUGGGGGAAACCCUGAUCCAGCGACGCCGCGUGAGUGAAGAAGUAUUUCGGUAUGUAAAGCUCUAUCAGCAGGGAAGAUAAUGACGGUACCUGACUAAGAAGCCCCGGCUAACUACGUGCCAGCAGCCGCGGUAAUACGUAGGGGGCAAGCGUUAUCCGGAUUUAUUGGGUUUAAAGGGUGCGUAGGCGGACGCGUAAGUCAGUGGUGAAAUAUUCCGGCUCAACCGGGAGGCUGCCAUUGAUACUGCGCGACUAGAGUCCAAACGGCGCCGGCGGAAUAUGUCAUGUAGCGGUGAAAUGCUUAGAUAUGACAUAGAACACCGAUCGCGAAGGCAGCUGGCGAGGAUGCGACUGACGCUGAGGCACGAAGGCGUGGGGAUCGAACAGGAUUAGAUACCCUGGUA
RNAcentral lists this ribosomal RNA (434 nucleotides) under uncultured Lachnospiraceae bacterium. Its description in RNAcentral is "bacterial SSU rRNA". It matches the Rfam family "Bacterial small subunit ribosomal RNA", at positions 341 to 792 of the family's 1533-position model. Lineage: Bacteria; Bacillati; Bacillota; Clostridia; Lachnospirales; Lachnospiraceae. The record is from RNAcentral.